This 886-nucleotide ribosomal RNA is filed under the name uncultured fungus. RNAcentral describes it as "SSU rRNA". It matches the Rfam family "Eukaryotic small subunit ribosomal RNA", at positions 246 to 1138 of the family's 1831-position model. Lineage: Eukaryota; Fungi. The record is from RNAcentral.
GGUGAUCAUAAUAACUUAACGAAUCGCAUGGCCUUGCGCCGGCGAUGGUUCAUUCAAAUUUCUGCCCUAUCAACUUUCGAUGGUAGGAUAGUGGCCUACCAUGGUGGCAACGGGUAACGGGGAAUUAGGGUUCGAUUCCGGAGAGGGAGCCUGAGAAACGGCUACCACAUCCAAGGAAGGCAGCAGGCGCGCAAAUUACCCAAUCCCGAUACGGGGAGGUAGUGACAAUAAAUACUGAUACGGGGCUCUUUUGGGUCUCGUAAUUGGAAUGAGAACAAUUUAAAUCCCUUAACGAGGAACAAUUGGAGGGCAAGUCUGGUGCCAGCAGCCGCGGUAAUUCCAGCUCCAAUAGCGUAUAUUAAAGUUGUUGCAGUUAAAAAGCUCGUAGUUGAACCUUGGGUCUGGCUGGCCGGUCCGCCUCACCGCGAGUACUGGUCCGGCUGGACCUUUCCUUCUGGGGAACCUCAUGGCCUUCACUGGCUGUGGGGGGAACCAGGACUUUUACUGUGAAGAAAUUAGAGUGUUCAAAGCAGGCCUUUGCUCGAAUACAUUAGCAUGGAAUAAUAGAAUAGGACGUGCGGUUCUAUUUUGUUGGUUUCUAGGACCGCCGUAAUGAUUAAUAGGGAUAGUCGGGGGCGUCAGUAUUCAGCUGUCAGAGGUGAAAUUCUUGGAUUUGCUGAAGACUAACUACUGCGAAAGCAUUCGCCAAGGAUGUUUUCAUUAAUCAGGGAACGAAAGUUAGGGGAUCGAAGACGAUCAGAUACCGUCGUAGUCUUAACCAUAAACUAUGCCGACUAGGGAUCGGACGGGAUUCUAUAAUGACCCGUUCGGCACCUUACGAGAAAUCAAAGUUUUUGGGUUCUGGGGGGAGUAUGGUCGCAAGGCU